CAGCUGCCUGUAGGGGGCAGGGCCUGGCCCUUAUAAAGCCCAGGGCUGAGGCCAGGCUGGCAGUUCUCUGCCAGCAGCCGGAGAGGCAGGAGCUCCCUCGGCCAAGAGAUGGGUAGAAGCCCGAUGGCCAGUACAGCUCAUGAGAGCUCCGAAGGAGAAAGCUGAAGAGUAUUUAUCCUUCUUCUUGUAUGAGAGAAAAGGGUUUCUUGCCCCUUCCUUUGAGGCCUCAUGUAUCAGCUGCUGCCAGCAAAAGGAUACUGGAAUAAAUGGCCACUGGUCAGAUCCAGUACGGUGAGUCCUAUAUUCCUAAAACUACUAAAUCAGCUAUCUAAAUGGAGCCACAAGACACAAACUGAACCAUACGCUCUUCAUUGAAAGUCAGCAGAGAAAUUAUUGAGAUUACUGAGUUUUUGUUUA
Long non-coding RNA from Alligator mississippiensis (American alligator), 417 nucleotides. RefSeq lists it as uncharacterized. The record is from RefSeq and is a predicted model, not a curated record. Lineage: Eukaryota; Metazoa; Chordata; Crocodylia; Alligatoridae. The transcript has 3 exons.